RNAcentral lists this small nuclear RNA (21 nucleotides) under Arabidopsis thaliana (thale cress). RNAcentral's name for it is "snRNA_07781". The record is from RNAcentral. Lineage: Eukaryota; Viridiplantae; Streptophyta; Magnoliopsida; Brassicales; Brassicaceae.
GAUUGGUUUCUUGACCAAAGU